GAUGAACGCUAGCUACAGGCUAACACAUGCAAGUCGAGGGGAAACGGCAUUGAGUGCUUGCACUCUUUGGACGUCGACCGGCGCACGGGUGAGUAACGCGUAUCCAACCUUCCCAUUACUGUGGGAUAACCUGCCGAAAGGCAGACUAAUACCGCAUAGUCUUCGAUGACGGCAUCAGAUUUGAAGUAAAGAUUUAUCGGUAAUGGAUGGGGAUGCGUCUGAUUAGCUUGUUGGCGGGGUAACGGCCCACCAAGGCUACGAUCAGUAGGGGUUCUGAGAGGAAGGUCCCCCACAUUGGAACUGAGACACGGUCCAAACUCCUACGGGAGGCAGCAGUGAGGAAUAUUGGUCAAUGGACGGAAGUCUGAACCAGCCAAGUAGCGUGCAGGAUGACGGCCCUAUGGGUUGUAAACUGCUUUUGUAUGGGGAUAAAGUUAGGGACGUGUCCCUAUUUGCAGGUACCAUACGAAUAAGGACCGGCUAAUUCCGUGCCAGCAGCCGCGGUAAUACGGAAGGUCCAGGCGUUAUCCGGAUUUAUUGGGUUUAAAGGGAGCGUAGGCUGGAGAUUAAGUGUGUUGUGAAAUGUAGACGCUCAACGUCUGAAUUGCAGCGCAUACUGGUUUCCUUGAGUACGCACAACGUUGGCGGAAUUCGUCGUGUAGCGGUGAAAUGCUUAGAUAUGACGAAGAACUCCGAUUGCGAAGGCAGCUGACGGGAGCGCAACUGACGCUUAAGCUCGAAGGUGCGGGUAUCAAACAGG
This 760-nucleotide ribosomal RNA is filed under the name Prevotella melaninogenica. RNAcentral's name for it is "bacterial SSU rRNA". It matches the Rfam family "Bacterial small subunit ribosomal RNA", at positions 28 to 776 of the family's 1533-position model. Lineage: Bacteria; Pseudomonadati; Bacteroidota; Bacteroidia; Bacteroidales; Prevotellaceae. The record is from RNAcentral.